RNAcentral lists this unclassified non-coding RNA (295 nucleotides) under uncultured fungus. RNAcentral describes it as "sequence contains ITS1". The stretch from base 1 to 97 matches the Rfam family "5.8S ribosomal RNA", at positions 50 to 154 of the family's 154-position model. The record is from RNAcentral. Lineage: Eukaryota; Fungi.
GAAGUGCGAUAAGCAAUGCGAAUUGCAGAACCGCGAGUCAUCAGAUCUUUGAACGCAAGUGGCGAUAGCUAUGGCUAUCAUGUUUGUUUCAGUGUAUCCGGUUAAUUACAUCAAAGAACUUAAUGUGAUUGAAGCAGUUCUCUCACCAAGUACGGAGUUACUUCAGCGUAACGCCUAACCGAAGCAGUCACUAACUGGUGAUCAUCGUUUAGAGCCGAAACUGGUAAGCAGUAACUCGAUAACCGUUUAUCCACUAAUGGUACCUGAAAUAAGCAAGAUUACCCGCUGAACUUAA